CAGCCGCCGCGGUAAUACGAAGGGUGCAAGCGUUAAUCGGAAUUACAGGGCGUAAAGCGUGCGUAGGCGGUGAGUCAAGUCUGCUGUGAAAUCCCCGGGCUCAACCUGGGAAUGGCAGUGGAUACUGGCUCGCUAGAGUGUGUCAGAGGAUGGUGGAAUUCCCGGUGUAGCGGUGAAAUGCGUAGAGAUCGGGAGGAACAUCAGUGGCGAAGGCGGCCAUCUGGGACAACACUGACGCUGAGGCACGAAAGCGUGGGGAGCAAACAGGAUUAGAUACCCCGGUAGUCCCUGUCUCUUAUAC
This 301-nucleotide ribosomal RNA is filed under the name uncultured bacterium. Its description in RNAcentral is "partial 16S ribosomal RNA". It matches the Rfam family "Bacterial small subunit ribosomal RNA", at positions 509 to 807 of the family's 1533-position model. The record is from RNAcentral.